This 420-nucleotide ribosomal RNA is filed under the name bacterium. RNAcentral's name for it is "partial 16S ribosomal RNA". It matches the Rfam family "Bacterial small subunit ribosomal RNA", at positions 355 to 776 of the family's 1533-position model. The record is from RNAcentral.
UGGGGGAUAUUGCACAAUGGGCGAAAGCCUGAUGCAGCGACGCCGCGUGGGGGAUGAAGGCUUUCGGGUUGUAAACCUCUUUCGCUAUCGAACAAGGCCCGCUUAGGGUGGGUUGAGGGUAGGUGGAGAAGAAGCGCCGGCUAACUACGUGCCAGCAGCCGCGGUAAUACGUAGGGCGCGAGCGUUGUCCGGAAUUAUUGGGCGUAAAGGGCUUGUAGGCGGCUUGUUGCGCCUGCUGUGAAAACGCGGGGCUUAACUUCGCGCGUGCAGUGGGUACGGGCAGGCUUGAGUGUGGUAGGGGUGACUGGAAUUCCAGGUGUAGCGGUGGUAUGCGCAGAUAUCUGGAGGAACACCGAUGGCGAAGGCAGGUCACUGGGCCAUUACUGACGCUGAGGAGCGAAAGCAUGGGUAGCGAACAGG